CCUACGGGAGGCAGCAGUGGGGAAUCUUGCGCAAUGGGGGAAACUCUGACGCAGCGACGCCGCGUGGAGGAUGAAGGCCUUCGGGUUGUAAACUCCUGUCAGAGGGGACGAAAUCCCGCAAGGGACUGACGGUACCCUCAGAGGAAGCCCCGGCUAACUACGUGCCAGCAGCCGCGGUAAUACGUAGGGGGCAAGCGUUACUCGGAAUUACUGGGCGUAAAGGGUGAGUAGGCGGCUGGGCAAGUCAAGGAUGAAAUCCCGAGGCUCAACUUCGGAACUGUCCUUGAAACUGCUCAGCUUGAGGGUAGUUGGGGAGAGCGGAAUUCCCGGUGGAGCGGUGAAAUGCGUAGAUAUCGGGAGGAACACCAGAGGCGAAGGCGGCUCUCUAAGCUACUCCUGACGCUGAAUCACGAAAGCUAGGGGAGCAAACG
Molecule: ribosomal RNA, 431 nt
Filed under: uncultured Aminicenantes bacterium
Lineage: Bacteria; Candidatus Aminicenantota
Description: bacterial SSU rRNA
Rfam family: Bacterial small subunit ribosomal RNA
Source: RNAcentral